AAUUUUUAUUCAUUAUUUUAUAAUUAAUGUUAUAUAUUUAAGAUGUGUCGUCGUAUAACUAAUUGUAUUCAAAAGAUUUGGACUGAAUCGAGUAUAAGAUUAUUUUUGGUACAAAUAUACGAAGCCCUUUCAGAUACAUUGGUUAUUUAGAUAUUUUUAUGUUUCUACACAUCAGAAUCAAAAUCAUUCAGACCCGAAAGGACCCAACUCAAACCUCAUACAUAAAUUUAUAAUAUUCAAGUGGCGUCUAAUUUCAAAAUCCAAAAAAAUUAAUCCUGAAAGAAACAACUUGUACCUCA
Molecule: long non-coding RNA, 299 nt
Filed under: Brassica napus (rape)
Lineage: Eukaryota; Viridiplantae; Streptophyta; Magnoliopsida; Brassicales; Brassicaceae
Description: long non-coding RNA (BNAP_LNC010547)
Source: RNAcentral